UGUUGAGCCUUGUGCAACCUUCCUCCUUC
This 29-nucleotide non-coding RNA is filed under the name Rattus norvegicus (Norway rat). Lineage: Eukaryota; Metazoa; Chordata; Mammalia; Rodentia; Muridae. The record is from RNAcentral.